UGGCAGUCGAACGGAAAGGCCCUUCGGGGUGCUCGAGUGGCGAACGGGUGAGUAACACGUGGGUGAUCUGCCCUGCACUUUGGGAUAAGCCUGGGAAACUGGGUCUAAUACCGAAUACACCUUGCUGGUCGCAUGGCCUGGUGGGGGAAAGCUUUUGCGGUGUGGGAUGGGCCCGCGGCCUAUCAGCUUGUUGGUGGGGUGAUGGCCUACCAAGGCGACGACGGGUAGCCGGCCUGAGAGGGUGUCCGGCCACACUGGGACUGAGAUACGGCCCAGACUCCUACGGGAGGCAGCAGUGGGGAAUAUUGCACAAUGGGCGCAAGCCUGAUGCAGCGACGCCGCGUGAGGGAUGACGGCCUUCGGGUUGUAAACCUCUUUCAGUACCGACGAAGCGCAAGUGACGGUAGGUACAGAAGAAGCACCGGCCAACUACGUGCCAGCAGCCGCGGUAAUACGUAGGGUGCGAGCGUUGUCCGGAAUUACUGGGCGUAAAGAGCUCGUAGGUGGUUUGUCGCGUUGUCCGUGAAAACUCACAGCUUAACUGUGGGCGUGCGGGCGAUACGGGCAGACUGGAGUACUGCAGGGGAGACUGGAAUUCCUGGUGUAGCGGUGGAAUGCGCAGAUAUCAGGAGGAACACCGGUGGCGAAGGCGGGUCUCUGGGCAGUAACUGACGCUGAGGAGCGAAAGCGUGGGGAGCGAACAGGAUUAGAUACCCUGGUAGUCCACGCCGUAAACGGUGGGUACUAGGUGUGGGUUUCCUUCCUUGGGAUCCGUGCCGUAGCUAACGCAUUAAGUACCCCGCCUGGGGAGUACGGCCGCAAGGCUAAAACUCAAAGGAAUUGACGGGGGCCCGCACAAGCGGCGGAGCAUGUGGAUUAAUUCNAUGCAACGCGAAGAACCUUACCUGGGUUUGACAUGCACAGGACGCGUCUAGAGAUANGCGUUCCCUUGUGGCCUGUGUGCNGNNGGUGCAUGGCUGUCGUCAGCUCNUGUCGUGAGAUGUUGGGUUAAGUCCCGCNACGAGCGCAACCCNUGNCUCAUGUUGCCAGCNCGUNUGGNGGG
Molecule: ribosomal RNA, 1063 nt
Filed under: Mycobacterium sp. URHE0085
Lineage: Bacteria; Bacillati; Actinomycetota; Actinomycetes; Mycobacteriales; Mycobacteriaceae
Description: bacterial SSU rRNA
Rfam family: Bacterial small subunit ribosomal RNA
Source: RNAcentral